UACGUAGGUGGCAAGCGUUGUCCGGAAUUAUUGGGCGUAAAGCGCGCGCAGGCGGUUAUGUAAGUCUGAUGUUAAAGCCCGGGGCUCAACCUCGGUUCGCAUUGGAAACUGUGUAACUUGAGUGCAGAAGAGGAAAGUGGUAUUCCACGUGUAGCGGUGAAAUGCGUAGAUAUGUGGAGGAACACCAGUGGCGAAGGAGACUUUCGGGUCUGUAACUGACGAUGAGGCGCGAAAGCGUGGGGAGCAAACAGG
This 252-nucleotide ribosomal RNA is filed under the name uncultured bacterium. RNAcentral's name for it is "partial 16S ribosomal RNA". It matches the Rfam family "Bacterial small subunit ribosomal RNA", at positions 524 to 776 of the family's 1533-position model. The record is from RNAcentral.